UCCGCGAUAGCUCAAUGGUAGAGCGGGUGGCUGUUAACCACUAGGUUGCAGGUUCGAGCCCUGCUCGCGGAGCCA
Molecule: transfer RNA, 75 nt
Filed under: Lentisphaerota bacterium
Lineage: Bacteria; Pseudomonadati; Lentisphaerota
Also listed under: 2 other names
Description: Lentisphaerae bacterium (anaerobic digester metagenome) tRNA-Asn
Rfam family: tRNA
About the family: Transfer RNA (tRNA) molecules are approximately 80 nucleotides in length. Their secondary structure includes four short double-helical elements and three loops (D, anti-codon, and T loops). Further hydrogen bonds mediate the characteristic L-shaped molecular structure. tRNAs have two regions of fundamental functional importance: the anti-codon, which is responsible for specific mRNA codon recognition, and the 3' end, to which the tRNAs corresponding amino acid is attached (by aminoacyl-tRNA synthetases). tRNAs cope with the degeneracy of the genetic code in two manners: having more than one tRNA (with a specific anti-codon) for a particular amino acid; and 'wobble' base-pairing, i.e. permitting non-standard base-pairing at the 3rd anti-codon position.
Source: RNAcentral